UUUCAGUACACUUCCGAGAGUUCUACCGGUUAGUCAUGACGAGUUUUAGUGCUCUGUCUCAGUGUAAUUUUAAAUAAAUUAAAAAAUAAUUAAUUGUUCAAUAUAUAUAAUUAAUAUAAGAAUUUAUAUUAAAAUAAAUCCAUUGAAUAUAUUGAGUAGCCGGUUCAUAAUAACAAGCAUACCGUAUUCCAAUACUCUUGUGCGGCUAAAGUGAUUCACCUGUAUUUCGCCACUUCGUCAUUCUCAAUGAGCAUGCUGAGAUUUUUUAUUUAGUUGUCAGACUGGCGAUUACCAUAACAAAAAACAGAAGAAAAGUGAAAAACAAAAUCGAAGGCGUCAGUUGCGAGCAGUUAUUGCUGAAUUUGCGUGAAUUGUAAAUAAAUAAAAGCGGUUCGAAGUUUAGAUAUGCGUGCAAAUAUUGAAGUAGUGAAUUCAUAACGCUCAGGGUGGUUGCUAAAAUGCUGAUUUUAUUCAAUAUUGUGAUUAUUGAUUUGUUUUAUACUACAUCGCUCGGUGAAAUAAAGGAAUAGUCCUGGGAAAAAAGUUCAGACAGGUUUGACGUUUAAGAUUUUCUAAACUUUUAAAGGAUCAGUCGCAAAUUACUGCAUUUACUGCCUCGGUUCCACCCAAAUAUACAUACAUAGUACUACUUAUACAUACAUUAAUACAGACUUCGAUACAACAGAGGCUAGUGCAUCAUUACAGCACGCCAUGGAUGCGUCCAGUAAUAAUAUGAAAGUAAGCAAUUGGGAAAAAUUCAAAUUGUUGUUGUGGAAAAACUGGAAUCUACAAUGGAACCACAAAAUCGAA
Molecule: long non-coding RNA, 810 nt
Organism: Rhagoletis pomonella (apple maggot)
Lineage: Eukaryota; Metazoa; Arthropoda; Insecta; Diptera; Tephritidae
Exons: 2
Source: RefSeq, a predicted model, not a curated record